This 404-nucleotide unclassified non-coding RNA is filed under the name soil metagenome. Its description in RNAcentral is "partial contains 5.8S ribosomal RNA, internal transcribed spacer 2, and large subunit ribosomal RNA". The stretch from base 1 to 122 matches the Rfam family "5.8S ribosomal RNA", at positions 35 to 154 of the family's 154-position model. The record is from RNAcentral.
GAUGAAGAACGUAGCGAAAUGCGAUACUUGGUGUGAAUUGCAGAAUCCCGUGAACCAUCGAGUCUUUGAACGCAAGUUGCGCCUCAAGCCAUUAGGUUGAGGGCACGUCUGCCUGGGCGUCACAUAUCGUUGCCUGAUGCCAGUUUCCUCGUGAUGGGUGACUGUGCAGGGCGAAUGAUGGCUUCCCGUGAGCAUUGUUGCCUCAUGGUUGGUUGAAAAUCGAGUGCAUGGUGUCGGGUGUACCAUGAUGGAUGGUGGUUGAGUGAUGAUGCUCGAGACCAAUCAUGGGUAACUCCACCAGAAUUGGGCUUGGUGACCCACAUGCGUCCCUUGGAUGCUCCCUAAGGAGACCUCAGGUCAGGCGGGGCUACCCGCUGAGUUUAAGCAUAUCAAUAAGCGGAGGA